This 460-nucleotide ribosomal RNA is filed under the name uncultured bacterium. Its description in RNAcentral is "partial 16S ribosomal RNA". It matches the Rfam family "Bacterial small subunit ribosomal RNA", at positions 338 to 795 of the family's 1533-position model. The record is from RNAcentral.
CCUACGGGAUGCAGCAGUGAGGAAUAUUGGUCAAUGGGCGUAAGCCUGAACCAGCCAAGUCGCGUGAGGGAUGAAGGUUCUAUGGAUCGUAAACCUCUUUUAUAAGGGAAUAAAGUGUGGGACGUGUCCGAUUUUGGAUGUACCUUAUGAAUAAGGAUCGGCUAACUCCGUGCCAGCAGCCGCGGUAAUACGGAGGAUCCGAGCGUUAUCCGGAUUUAUUGGGGUUAAAGGUUGCGUAGGCGGCCUUUUAAGUCAGUGGUGAAAGUCGGUGGCUCAACCAUCGAAUUGCCGUUGAAACUGGUGGGCUUGAGUAUGUUUGAGGCAGGCGGAAUGCGUGGUGUAGCGGUGAAAUGCUUAGAUAUCACGCAGAACCCCGAUUGCGAAGGCAGCCUGCCAAGCCAUGACUGACGCUGAUGCACGAAAGCGUGGGGAUCAAACAGGAUUAGAUACCCGUGUAGUC